GUCCACGCCCUAAACGAUGUCUACUAGUUGUCGGAGGGUAACUCCUUCGGUAACGCAGCUAACGCGUGAAGUAGACCGCCUGGGGAGUACGGUCGCAAGAUUAAAAACUCAAAGGAAUUGACGGGGACCCGCACAAGCGGUGGAUGAUGUGGAUUAAUUCGAUGCAACGCGAAAAACCUUACCUACCCUUGACAUGCCACUAACGAAGCAGAGAUGCAUCAGGUGCCCGAAAGGGAAGUGGACACAGGUGCUGCAUGGCUGUCGU
Molecule: ribosomal RNA, 265 nt
Filed under: uncultured bacterium
Lineage: Bacteria
Description: partial 16S ribosomal RNA
Rfam family: Bacterial small subunit ribosomal RNA
Source: RNAcentral